This 411-nucleotide ribosomal RNA is filed under the name Triticum aestivum (bread wheat). RNAcentral describes it as "partial small subunit ribosomal RNA". Lineage: Eukaryota; Viridiplantae; Streptophyta; Magnoliopsida; Poales; Poaceae. The record is from RNAcentral.
AUGCACGUACACACUGUCCCCAGUGUGGCAAAAUAUGUGGCUAGGUUUGGUUUGGUAUUGUCCAAAACUAUUACACUACUCGAUGGUGAAGACCUAUCAAAAAUUGACGUUGUAAUUGUUGAUGAUGUACCUUGCAAGGAUAAAAACGGAAACAUUGUUCUCAAGCAUAGGGAGGCUUUGAUCCACACUGACGGGACUGGCCUAAUAUCAGAAGAUUUAGCUAAGAAAUGCCCUACUGAUGUAUUUAAGGGGAACCUUUUGAGGAUACAUGACCCUCUUCUUAUGCAGGUCCGUAUGUUCUAUAAUGGACUUGUUGUAAAGGGAACCCUUCUUGUUGUUAGAAAGCUUCCUGAAAGGACUAUCCAUAUACGACCAUCAAUGAUAAAAGUAAACUCAGAUCCUAGUCUAUAA